Molecule: long non-coding RNA, 589 nt
Filed under: Cricetulus griseus (Chinese hamster)
Lineage: Eukaryota; Metazoa; Chordata; Mammalia; Rodentia; Cricetidae
Description: lncRNA (ENSCGRG00015031645.1)
Source: RNAcentral
CCCUAAUCCAUAUGUAUGCAAUAACCGUGUUUUAGUUCCAAAGUCCGGAUUCAACGAAAUAUACAAAACUAGGUGUAUGGAAUCUUUUAUAACGACGCACUAAAUCUCUUGUAGUUCAAAGUCCGGAUACAACGAAAUACACAAAACUAGGUUGAUGGAAUCGUUCAUGAUGAUGCACUAACUGAGUUUUAGUUCCAAAGUCCGUAUACUACGAAAUACACAAAACUAGGUUUAUGGAAUCAUUCAUAACGACGCACUAAGUCUCUUGUAGUUGAAAGUCCUGGUACAACGAAAUACACAAAACUAGGUUGAUGGAAUCGUUCAUGAAUAUGCACUAACUGAGUUUUAGUUCCAAAGUCUGUAUCCUUCGAAAUACACAAAACUAGGUUUAUAGAAUCAUUCAUAAUGACGCACUAAGUCUCUUGUAGUUCAAAGUCUUGGUACAACGAAAUACACAAAACUAGGUUUCGGGAAUCGUUCAUAAAAUGACACUGUUGUAGUUCCAAAGUCGGUAUACAACGAAAUACACAUGACUAGGUUUAUGGAAAAGUUCAAAGAAGCCAAUAACUCUGUUGUAGUUCCAAAGUCC